This 468-nucleotide ribosomal RNA is filed under the name uncultured bacterium. RNAcentral describes it as "partial 16S ribosomal RNA". It matches the Rfam family "Bacterial small subunit ribosomal RNA", at positions 28 to 507 of the family's 1533-position model. The record is from RNAcentral.
GACGAACGCUGGCGGCGUGCUUAACACAUGCAAGUCGAACGGAAAGGCCCUGCUUUUGUGGGGUGCUCGAGUGGCGAACGGGUGAGUAACACGUGAGUAACCUGCCCUUGACUUUGGGAGAACUUCAGGAAACUGGGGCUAAUACCGGAUAGGAGCUCCUGCUGCAUGGUGGGGGUUGGAAAGUUUCGGCGGUUGGGGAUGGACUCGCGGCUUAUCAGCUUGUUGGUGGGGUAGUGGCUGACCAAGGCUUUGACGGGUAGCCGGCCUGAGAGGGUGACCGGCCACAUUGGGACUGAGAUAGGGCCCAGACUCCUACGGGAGGCAGUAGUGGGGAAUAUGGCACAAUGGGCGGAAGCCUGAUGCAGCAACGCCGCGUGCGGGAUGACGGCCUUCGGGUUGUAAACCGCUUUCGCCUGUGCCGAAGCGUGAGUGACGGUAAUGGGUAAAGAAGCACCGGCUAACUACGUG